GACGAACGCUGGCGGCGUGCUUAACACAUGCAAGUCGAACGGAAAGGCCCUGCUUUUGUGGGGUGCUCGAGUGGCGAACGGGUGAGUAACACGUGAGUAACCUGCCCUUGACUUUGGGAUAACUUCAGGAAACUGGGGCUAAUACCGGAUAGGGGCUCCUGCUGCAUGGUGGGGGUUGGAAAGUUUCGGCGGUUGGGGAUGGACUCGCGGCUUAUCAGCUUGUUGGUGGGGUAGUGGCUUACCAAGGCUUUGACGGGUAGCCGGCCUGAGAGGGUGACCGGCCACAUUGGGACUGAGAUACGGCCCAGACUCCUACGGGAGGCAGCAGUGGGGAAUAUUGCACAAUGGGCGGAAGCCUGAUGCAGCAACGCCGCGUGCGGGAUGACGGCCUUCGGGUUGUAAACCGCUUUCGCCUGUGACGAAGCGUGAGUGACGGUAAUGGGUAAAGAAGCACCGGCUAACUACGUGCCAGCAGCCGCGGUGAUACGUAGGGUGCGAGCGUUGUCCGGAUUUAUUGGGCGUAAAGGGCUCGUAGGUGGUUGAUCGCGUCGGAAGUGUAAUCUUGGGGCUUAACCCUGAGCGUGCUUUCGAUACGGGUUGACUUGAGGAAGGUAGGGGAGAAUGGAAUUCCUGGUGGAGCGGUGGAAUGCGCAGAUAUCAGGAGGAACACCAGUGGCGAAGGCGGUUCUCUGGGCCUUUCCUGACGCUGAGGAGCGAAAGCGUGGGAAGCGAACAGGCUUAGAUACCCUGGUAGUCCACGCUGUAAACGGUGGGUACUAGGUGUGGGGUCCAUUCCACGGGUUCCGUGCCGUAGCUAACGCUUUAAGUACCCCGCCUGGGGAGUACGGCCGCAAGGCUAAAACUCAAAGGAAUUGACGGGGCCCCGCACAAGCGGCGGAGCAUGCGGAUUAAUUCGAUGCAACGCGUAGAACCUUACCUGGGUUUGACAUGGAUCGGGAGUGCUCAGAGAUGGGUGUGCCUCUUUUGGGGUCGGUUCACAGGUGGUGCAUGGCUGUCGUCAGCUCGUGUCGUGAGAUGUUGGGUUAAGUCCCGCAACGAGCGCAACCCUUGUUCACUGUUGCCAGCACGUUAUGGUGGGGACUCAGUGGAGACCACCGGGGUCAACUCGGAGGAAGGUGGGGAUGACGUCACGUCAUCAUGCCCCUUAUGUCCAGGGCUUCACGCAUGCUACAAUGGCUGGUACAGAGAGUGGCGAGCCUGUGAGGGUGAGCGAAUCUCGGAAAGCCGGUCUCAGUUCGGAUUGGGGUCUGCAACUCGACCUCAUGAAGUCGGAGUCGCUAGUAAUCGCAGAUCAGCAACGCUGCGGUGAAUACGUUCCCGGG
RNAcentral lists this ribosomal RNA (1343 nucleotides) under uncultured bacterium. RNAcentral's name for it is "16S ribosomal RNA". It matches the Rfam family "Bacterial small subunit ribosomal RNA", at positions 28 to 1378 of the family's 1533-position model. The record is from RNAcentral.